This is a long non-coding RNA of Papilio xuthus (Asian swallowtail), 280 nucleotides long. RefSeq lists it as uncharacterized. NCBI's taxonomy places the organism in Eukaryota, Metazoa, Arthropoda, Insecta, Lepidoptera, Papilionidae. The transcript has 3 exons. The record is from RefSeq and is a predicted model, not a curated record.
AUAUUCAGUUCAGUUAUAGCAGGAGAGGUUGCAAGAUGAAACUGUUAACUUUGAUUUUAAACUUUCUGAUGGUUGUGCUCACAAUUGUGUGUGGCAUGACAACGAUGCCGAGGGGUGCAGGCCUGCAGCAGGGCCAGCAGGCCGCCGGCUGUCAUGGCGGACCCGGCGGCGCCGGUGGCGGACCUCCUCCACCCCCGCCUACUAAUAGUACUGGUUAGAUGACGUCACAACUUGAUACCAGCAUCAACUUCCCAAACGGACUCCGAGUACAAAAUAAAAU